AUUGAACGCUGGCGGCAGGCCUAACACAUGCAAGUCGAACGGUAACAGAGAGUAGCUUGCUACUUUGCUGACGAGUGGCGGACGGGUGAGUAAUGUCUGGGGAUCUGCCUGAUGGAGGGGGAUCACUACUGGAAACGGUAGCUAAUACCGCAUAAUGUCGCAAGACCAAAGCGGGGGACUUUCGGGCCUCGCACCAUCAGAUGAAUCCAGAUGGGAUUAGCUGAUAGGUAGGGUAAUGGCUUACCUAGGCGACGAUCCCUAGCUGGUCUGAGAGGAUGAGCAGCCACGCUGGAGCUGAGACACGGUCCAGACUCGUACGGGAGGCAGCAGUGGGGAAUAUUGCACAGUGGGCGCAAGCCUGAUGCAGCCAUGCCGGGUGUAUGAAGAAGGCCUUCGGGUUGUAAAGUACUUUCAGUCAGGAGGAAGGGUGUGAAAUUAAUACUUUCAUGCGUUGACGUUACUGACAGAAGAAGCACCGGCUAACUCCGUGCCAGCCGCCGAAGUAA
Molecule: ribosomal RNA, 506 nt
Filed under: uncultured bacterium
Lineage: Bacteria
Description: partial 16S ribosomal RNA
Rfam family: Bacterial small subunit ribosomal RNA
Source: RNAcentral